GCGGCUAUAGCUCAGUGUGGCGAGAGCAUCUGGCAGCUAACCAGAAGGGAGCUUCCGUUCGAUUCGGAAGGGCGGCCACCA
Molecule: transfer RNA, 81 nt
Filed under: Caudoviricetes sp.
Lineage: Duplodnaviria; Heunggongvirae; Uroviricota; Caudoviricetes
Description: tRNA-Ser
Rfam family: tRNA
About the family: Transfer RNA (tRNA) molecules are approximately 80 nucleotides in length. Their secondary structure includes four short double-helical elements and three loops (D, anti-codon, and T loops).
Source: RNAcentral